This 506-nucleotide ribosomal RNA is filed under the name uncultured bacterium. Its description in RNAcentral is "partial 16S ribosomal RNA". It matches the Rfam family "Bacterial small subunit ribosomal RNA", at positions 29 to 523 of the family's 1533-position model. The record is from RNAcentral.
AGUGGACGCUGGCGGUAGGCCUAACACAUGCAAGUCGAACGGCAGCACAGGAGAGCUUGCUCUCUGGGUGGCGAGUGGCGGACGGGUGAGGAAUACAUCGGAAUCUACUCUGUCGUGGGGGAUAACGUAGGGAAACUUACGCUAACACCGCAUACGACCUACGGGUGAAAGCAGGGGACCUUCGGGCCUUGCGCGAUUGAAUGAGCCGAUGUCGGAUUAGCUAGUUGGCGGGGUAAAGGCCCACCAAGGCGACGGUCCGUAGCUGGUCUGAGAGGAUGAUCAGCCACACUGGAACUGAGACACGGUCCAGACUCCUACGGGAGGCAGCAGUGGGGAAUAUUGGACAAUGGGCGCAAGCCUGAUCCAGCCAUACCGCGUGGGUGAAGAAGGCCUUCGGGUUGUAAAGCCCUUUUGUUGGGAAAGAAAUCCAGCUGGCUAAUACCCGGUUGGGAUGACGGUACCCGAAGAAUAAGCACCGGCUAACUUCGUGCCAGCCGCCGCGGUAA